Molecule: unclassified non-coding RNA, 20 nt
Filed under: Chlamydomonas reinhardtii
Lineage: Eukaryota; Viridiplantae; Chlorophyta; Chlorophyceae; Chlamydomonadales; Chlamydomonadaceae
Description: small RNA Cre_2214
Source: RNAcentral
UACGAAUACGGUAUGCCGCU